RNAcentral lists this ribosomal RNA (442 nucleotides) under uncultured bacterium. RNAcentral's name for it is "bacterial SSU rRNA". It matches the Rfam family "Bacterial small subunit ribosomal RNA", at positions 30 to 471 of the family's 1533-position model. The record is from RNAcentral.
AUUGAACGCUGGCGGCAUGCCUUACACAUGCAAGUCGAACGGCAGCACGGGAGCAAUCCUGGUGGCGAGUGGCGAACGGGUGAGUAAUAUAUCGGAACGUGCCCAGUCGUGGGGAUAACGUAGCGAAAGCUACGCUAAUACCGCAUACGAUCUAUGGAUGAAAGCGGGGGAUCGCAAGACCUCGCGCGAUUGGAGCGGCCGAUAUCAGAUUAGGUAGUUGGUGAGGUAAAGGCUCACCAAGCCGACGAUCUGUAGCUGGUCUGAGAGGACGACCAGCCACACUGGGACUGAGACACGGCCCAGACUCCUACGGGAGGCAGCAGUGGGGGAAUUUUGGGACAAUGGACGCAAGUCUGAUCCAGCCAUUCCGCGUGCAGGAUGAAGGCCCUCGGGUUGUAAACUGCUUUUGUACGGAACGAAAGGUUUGUCUUAAUACGAUGAG